GCUGAAGCAACAAAUGCCCUGCUUCCAGGAAAAGCCUCUAAGCAUCAGGUAACAUCAAAUCGUACCCCAAACCGACACAGGUGGUCAGGUAGAGAAUACCAAGGCGCUUGAGAGAACUCGGGUGAAGGAACUAGGCAAAAUGGUGCCGUAACUUCGGGAGAAGGCACGCUGAUAUGUAGGUGAAGUCCCUCGCGGAUGGAGCUGAAAUCAGUCGAAGAUACCAGCUGGCUGCAACUGUUUAUUAAAAACACAGCACUGUGCAAACACGAAAGUGGACGUAUACGGUGUGACGCCUGCCCGGUGCCGGAAGGUUAAUUGAUGGGGUUAGCCGCAA
Molecule: ribosomal RNA, 334 nt
Filed under: Escherichia coli
Lineage: Bacteria; Pseudomonadati; Pseudomonadota; Gammaproteobacteria; Enterobacterales; Enterobacteriaceae
Description: partial 23S ribosomal RNA
Rfam family: Bacterial large subunit ribosomal RNA
Source: RNAcentral